AGAGUUUGAUCAUGGCUCAGAUUGAACGCUGGCGGCAGGCCUAACACAUGCAAGUCGAACGGUAACAGGAAGCAGCUUGCUGCUUCGCUGACGAGUGGCGGACGGGUGAGUAAUGUCUGGGAAACUGCCUGAUGGAGGGGGAUAACUACUGGAAACGGUAGCUAAUACCGCAUAAUGUCGCAGGACCAAAGAGGGGGACCUUCGGGCCUCUUGCCAUCAGAUGUGCCCAGAUGGGAUUAGCUUGUUGGUGAGGUAACGGCUCACCAAGGCGACGAUCCCUAGCUGGUCUGAGAGGAUGACCAGCCACACUGGAACUGAGACACGGUCCAGACUCCUACGGGAGGCAGCAGUGGGGAAUAUUGCACAAUGGGCGCAAGCCUGAUGCAGCCAUGCCGCGUGUAUGAAGAAGGCCUUCGGGUUGUAAAGUACUUUCAGCGGGGAGGAAGGUGUUGUGGUUAAUAACCACAGCAAUUGACGUUACCCGCAGAAGAAGCACCGGCUAACUCCGUGCCAGCAGCCGCGGUAAUACGGAGGGUGCAAGCGUUAAUCGGAAUUACUGGGCGUAAAGCGCACGCAGGCGGUCUGUCAAGUCGGAUGUGAAAUCCCCGGGCUCAACCUGGGAACUGCAUUCGAAACUGGCAGGCUUGAGUCUUGUAGAGGGGGGUAGAAUUCCAGGUGUAGCGGUGAAAUGCGUAGAGAUCUGGAGGAAUACCGGUGGCGAAGGCGGCCCCCUGGACAAAGACUGACGCUCAGGUGCGAAAGCGUGGGGAGCAAACAGGAUUAGAUACCCUGGUAGUCCACGCCGUAAACGAUGUCUACUUGGAGGUUGUGCCCUUGAGGCGUGGCUUCCGGAGCUAACGCGUUAAGUAGACCGCCUGGGGAGUACGGCCGCAAGGUUAAAACUCAAAUGAAUUGACGGGGGCCCGCACAAGCGGUGGAGCAUGUGGUUUAAUUCGAUGCAACGCGAAGAACCUUACCUGGUCUUGACAUCCACAGAACCCUGUAGAGAUACGGGGGUGCCUUCGGGAGCUGUGAGACAGGUGCUGCAUGGCUGUCGUCAGCUCGUGUUGUGAAAUGUUGGGUUAAGUCCCGCAACGAGCGCAACCCUUAUCCUUUGUUGCCAGCGGUCCGGCCGGGAACUCAAAGGAGACUGCCAGUGAUAAACUGGAGGAAGGUGGGGAUGACGUCAAGUCAUCAUGGCCCUUACGACCAGGGCUACACACGUGCUACAAUGGCGCAUACAAAGAGAAGCGACCUCGCGAGAGCAAGCGGACCUCAUAAAGUGCGUCGUAGUCCGGACUGGAGUCUGCAACUCGACUCCAUGAAGUCGGAAUCGCUAGUAAUCGUGGAUCAGAAUGCCACGGUGAAUACGUUCCCGGGCCUUGUACACACCGCCCGUCACACCAUGGGAGUGGGUUGCAAAAGAAGUAGGUAGCUUAACCUUCGGGAGGGCGCUUACCACUUUGUGAUUCAUGACUGGGGUGAAGUCGUAACAAGGUAACCGUAGGGGAACCUGCGGUUGGAUCACCU
RNAcentral lists this ribosomal RNA (1530 nucleotides) under Salmonella enterica. RNAcentral's name for it is "bacterial SSU rRNA". It matches the Rfam family "Bacterial small subunit ribosomal RNA". RNAcentral also lists the same sequence under 1 other name. Lineage: Bacteria; Pseudomonadati; Pseudomonadota; Gammaproteobacteria; Enterobacterales; Enterobacteriaceae. The record is from RNAcentral.